This 289-nucleotide ribosomal RNA is filed under the name uncultured Brachybacterium sp. Its description in RNAcentral is "partial 16S ribosomal RNA". Lineage: Bacteria; Bacillati; Actinomycetota; Actinomycetes; Micrococcales; Dermabacteraceae. The record is from RNAcentral.
CUACUGGGGUAUCUAAUCCUGUUCGCUCCCCAUGCUUUCGCUUCUCAGUGUCAGUAAUGGCCCAGAGACCUGCCUUCGCCAUCGGUGUUCUUCCUGAUAUCUGCGCAUAUCACCGCUACACCAGGAGUUCCAGUCUCCCCUACCACACUCUAGCCUGCCCGUACCCACCGCACGCCCGAGGUUGAGCCUCGGGUUUUCACGGCAGACGCGACAAGCCACCUACAAGCUCUUUACGCCCAAUAAUUCCGGACAACGCUUGCGCCCUACGUAUUACCGCGGCGGCUGGCAC